GGAAUCGCUAGUAAUCGCGGGUCAGCAUACCGCGGUGAAUACGUUCCCGGGCCUUGUACACACCGCCCGUCACACCACGAAAGUUGGUAACACCCGAAGCCGGUGGCCUAACCCUUAGGGGAGGGAGCUGUCGAAGGUGGGACUGAUGAUUGGGGUGAAGUCGUAACAAGGUAUC
This 175-nucleotide ribosomal RNA is filed under the name uncultured bacterium. RNAcentral describes it as "partial 16S ribosomal RNA". It matches the Rfam family "Bacterial small subunit ribosomal RNA", at positions 1328 to 1500 of the family's 1533-position model. The record is from RNAcentral.